This 386-nucleotide ribosomal RNA is filed under the name Prasinoderma sp. RNAcentral describes it as "partial small subunit ribosomal RNA". It matches the Rfam family "Eukaryotic small subunit ribosomal RNA", at positions 583 to 975 of the family's 1831-position model. The record is from RNAcentral. Lineage: Eukaryota; Viridiplantae; Prasinodermophyta; Prasinodermophyceae; Prasinodermales; Prasinodermaceae.
UUCCAGCUCCAAUAGCGUAUAUUUAAGUUGUUGCAGUUAAAAAGCUCGUAGUUGGAUUUUGGGUCGGGGGUACCGGCCCGGUGUUUCACUGUGCACUGGCCUCCCCUUCCUUUCUGCCGGGGACGGCGUUUGCUCUUUACUGAGCGGCGUCGGAGUCGGCGUUGUUACUUUGAAAAAAUUAGAGUGUUCAAAGCAAGCCAUCGCUCUGAAUACAUUAGCAUGGAAUAACAUGAUAGGACUCCGGUCUUAUUUUGUUGGUUUCCGAGACUGGAGUAAUGAUUAAGAGGGACAGUCGGGGGCAUCCGUAUUUCAUUGUCAGAGGUGAAAUUCUUGGAUUUAUGAAAGACGAACUUCUGCGAAAGCAUUUGCCAAGGAUGUUUUCAUCA